AGUGAACGCUGGCGGUAGGCCUAACACAUGCAAGUCGAACGGCAGCACAGUAAGAGCUUGCUCUUACGGGUGGCGAGUGGCGGACGGGUGAGGAAUACAUCGGAAUCUACUUUUUCGUGGGGGAUAACGUAGGGAAACUUACGCUAAUACCGCAUACGACCUACGGGUGAAAGCAGGGGAUCUUCGGACCUUGCGCGAUUGAAUGAGCCGAUGUCGGAUUAGCUAGUUGGCGGGGUAAAGGCCCACCAAGGCGACGAUCCGUAGCUGGUCUGAGAGGAUGAUCAGCCACACUGGAACUGAGACACGGUCCCGACUCCUACGGGAGGCAGCAGUGGGGAAUAUUGGACAAUGGGCGCAAGCCUGAUCCAGCCAUACCACGUGGGUGAAGAAGGCCUUCGGGUUGUAAAGCCCUUUUGUUGGGAAAGAAAAGCAGCAGGUUAAUACCCCGCUGUUCUGACGGUACCCAAAGAAUAAGCACCGGCUAACUUCGUG
Molecule: ribosomal RNA, 492 nt
Filed under: uncultured bacterium
Lineage: Bacteria
Description: partial 16S ribosomal RNA
Rfam family: Bacterial small subunit ribosomal RNA
Source: RNAcentral